GGGGAUGUAGCUCAGCGGGAGAGCACCUGCUUUGCAAGCAGGGGGUCGGCGGUUCAAAUCCGCUCAUCUCCACCA
This 75-nucleotide transfer RNA is filed under the name Ammonifex degensii KC4. RNAcentral's name for it is "tRNA-Ala (TGC) (tRNA-Ala-TGC-1-1)". It matches the Rfam family "tRNA". From Rfam's summary of the family: Transfer RNA (tRNA) molecules are approximately 80 nucleotides in length. Their secondary structure includes four short double-helical elements and three loops (D, anti-codon, and T loops). RNAcentral also lists the same sequence under 3 other names. Lineage: Bacteria; Bacillati; Bacillota; Clostridia; Thermoanaerobacterales; Thermoanaerobacteraceae. The record is from RNAcentral.